UACGUAGGCGGAUUGGAAAGUAGGGGGUGAAAUCCCAGGGCUCAACCCUGGAACUGCCUCCUAAACUAUCAGUCUAGAGUUCGAGAGAGGUGAGUGGAAUUCCAAGUGUAGAGGUGAAAUUCGUAGAUAUUUGGAGGAACACCAGUGGCGAAGGCGGCUCACUGGCUCGAUACUGACGCUGAGGUACGAAAGUGUGGGGAGCAAACAGGAUUAGAUACCCUGGUAGUC
Molecule: ribosomal RNA, 228 nt
Filed under: uncultured bacterium
Lineage: Bacteria
Description: partial 16S ribosomal RNA
Rfam family: Bacterial small subunit ribosomal RNA
Source: RNAcentral